Molecule: non-coding RNA, 71 nt
Organism: Nematostella vectensis (starlet sea anemone)
Lineage: Eukaryota; Metazoa; Cnidaria; Anthozoa; Actiniaria; Edwardsiidae
Source: Rfam
GCUCUGGUGGUUCAGUGGUAGAAUUUUCGCCUGCCACGCUAGAGGCCCGGGUUCGAUUCCCGGCCAGUGCA